CUAUGGGGAAGUAACUGAUGCCAUGCUUCCAAGAAAAGCUUCUAAGCUUCAGUCAGUAAGGGAUCGUACCCGAAACCGACACAGGUGGUCAGGUCGAGAAGACUAAGGCGCUUGAGAGAACUCUGCUGAAGGAACUAGGCAAAAUAGUACCGUAACUUCGGGAGAAGGUACGCUGUUGAUGGUGAAGGAUUUACUCCGUAAGCUAUCGGCAGCCUCAGAAACUAGGCCGCUGCAACUGUUUAUUAAAAACACAGCACUCUGCAAACACGAAAGUGGACGUAUAGGGUGUGAUGCCUGCCCGGUGCUGGAAGGUUAAUUGAUGGGGUUAGCGAAAGCGAAGCUCUUGAUCGAAGCCCCAGUAAACGGCGGCCGUAACGAUAACGGUCCUAAGGUAGCGAAAUUCCUUGUCGGGUAAGUUCCGACCUGCACGAAUGGCAUAAUGAUGGCGGCGCUGUCUCCAGCAGAGACUCAGUGAAAUCGAAAUCGCGGUGAAGAUGCCGUGUACCCGCGGCUAGACGGAAAGACCCCGUGAACCUUUACUGCAGCUUUGCAUUGAACUUUGACCUUACUUGUGUAGGAUAGGUGGGAGGCUUUGAAGCUCGGACGCCAGUUCGAGUGGAGCCAUCCUUGAAAUACCACCCUGGUAAUGUCGAGGUUCUAACCCAGAUCCGUUAUCCGGAUCGGGGACAGUGUAUGGUGGGUAGUUUGACUGGGGCGGUCUCCUCCUAAAGAGUAACGGAGGAGUACGAAGGUGCGCUCAGCGUGGUCGGAAAUCACGCAAUGAGUAUAAAGGCAAAAGCGCGCUUAACUGCGAGACCGACAAGUCGAGCAGGUACGAAAGUAGGUCUUAGUGAUCCGGUGGUUCUGUAUGGAAGGGCCAUCGCUCAACGGAUAAAAGGUACUCUGGGGAUAACAGGCUGAUACCGCCCAAGAGUUCAUAUCGACGGCGGUGUUUGGCACCUCGAUGUCGGCUCAUCUCAUCCUGGGGCUGAAGCAGGUCCCAAGGGUAUGGCUGUUCGCCAUUUAAAGAGGUACGCGAGCUGGGUUUAGAACGUCGUGAGACAGUUCGGUCCCUAUCUACCGUGGGCGUUGGAGACUUGAGAGGAUCUGCUUCUAGUACGAGAGGACCGAAGUGGACGUACCUCUGGUGUUCGGGUUGUCACGCCAGUGGCACUGCCCGGUAGCUAUGUACGGACGGGAUAACCGCUGAAAGCAUCUAAGCGGGAAGCCUACCUUAAGAUAAGGUCUCCCUGGGAGUUUAACCCCCCUAAAGAGCCGUUAGAGACCAUGACGUU
Molecule: ribosomal RNA, 1295 nt
Filed under: metagenome
Description: bacterial LSU rRNA
Rfam family: Bacterial large subunit ribosomal RNA
Source: RNAcentral